RNAcentral lists this ribosomal RNA (490 nucleotides) under uncultured bacterium. RNAcentral's name for it is "partial 16S ribosomal RNA". It matches the Rfam family "Bacterial small subunit ribosomal RNA", at positions 30 to 507 of the family's 1533-position model. The record is from RNAcentral.
AUUGAACGCUGGCGGCAGGCCUAACACAUGCAAGUCGAACGGUAACAGGAAGCAGCUUGCUGCUUUGCUGACGAGUGGCGGACGGGUGAGUAAUGUCUGGGAAACUGCCCGAUGGAGGGGGAUAACUACUGGAAACGGUAGCUAAUACCGCAUAACGUCGCAAGACCAAAGAGGGGGACCUUAGGGCCUCUUGCCAUCGGAUGUGCCCAGAUGGGAUUAGCUAGUAGGUGGGGUAACGGCUCACCUAGGCGACGAUCCCUAGCUGGUCUGAGAGGAUGACCAGCCACACUGGAACUGAGACACGGUCCAGACUCCUACGGGAGGCAGCAGUGGGGAAUAUUGCACAAUGGGCGCAAGCCUGAUGCAGCCAUGCCGCGUGUAUGAAGAAGGCCUUCGGGUUGUAAAGUACUUUCAGCGGGGAGGAAGGGAGUAAAGUUAAUACCUUUGCUCAUUGACGUUACCCGCAGAAGAAGCACCGGUUAACUCCGUG